Molecule: ribosomal RNA, 740 nt
Filed under: Paramycosphaerella marksii
Lineage: Eukaryota; Fungi; Ascomycota; Dothideomycetes; Mycosphaerellales; Mycosphaerellaceae
Description: eukaryotic LSU rRNA
Rfam family: Eukaryotic large subunit ribosomal RNA
Source: RNAcentral
AAGCGGCAACAGCUCAAAUUUGAAAUCUGGCGCAAGCCCGAGUUGUAAUUUGUAGAGGAUGCUUCUGGGCAGCGGCCGUUCUAAGUUCCUUGGAACAGGACGUCAUAGAGGGUGAGAAUCCCGUAUGUGACCGGCGCGCACCCUCCACGUAGCUCCUUCGACGAGUCGAGUUGUUUGGGAAUGCAGCUCUAAAUGGGAGGUAAAUUUCUUCUAAAGCUAAAUACCGGCCAGAGACCGAUAGCGCACAAGUAGAGUGAUCGAAAGAUGAAAAGCACUUUGGAAAGAGAGUUAAAAAGCACGUGAAAUUGUUGAAAGGGAAGCGCUUGCAACCAGACUUCGCGGCGGUGUUCCGCCGGUCUUUUGACCGGUCUACUCGCCGCCGCGAGGCCAACAUCGUCUGGGGCCGCCGGAUAAGACCAUGGGAAUGUGGCUCCCUCGGGAGUGUUAUAGCCCACGGUGAUGCGGCGUGUCCCGGGCGAGGUCCGCGCUUCGGCAAGGAUGUUGGCGUAAUGGUUGCCAGCGGCCCGUCUUGAAACACGGACCAAGGAGUCUAACAUCUAUGCGAGUGUUCGGGUGUCAAACCCCUACGCGUAAUGAAAGUGAACGGAGGUGGGAGCUUCGGCGCACCAUCGACCGAUCCUGAUGUCCUCGGAUGGAUUUGAGUAAGAGCAUAGCUGUUGGGACCCGAAAGAUGGUGAACUAUGCCUGAAUAGGGUGAAGCCAGAGGAAACUCUGGUGGA